RNAcentral lists this ribosomal RNA (501 nucleotides) under uncultured bacterium. Its description in RNAcentral is "partial 16S ribosomal RNA". It matches the Rfam family "Bacterial small subunit ribosomal RNA", at positions 29 to 523 of the family's 1533-position model. The record is from RNAcentral.
AUUGAACGCUGGCGGCAUGCCUUACACAUGCAAGUCGAGCGGCAGCACGGGUGCUUGCACCUGGUGGCGAGUGGCGAACGGGUGAGUAAUACAUCGGAACGUACCUUAUCGUGGGGGAUAACGCAGCGAAAGCUGUGCUAAUACCGCAUACGCCCUGAGGGGGAAAGCGGGGGAUCGAAAGACCUCGCGCGAUUAGAGCGGCCGAUGCCUGAUUAGCUUGUUGGUGGGGUAAAAGCCCACCAAGGCGACGAUCAGUAGCUGGUCUGAGAGGACGAUCAGCCACACUGGGACUGAGACACGGCCCAGACUCCUACGGGAGGCAGCAGUGGGGAAUUUUGGACAGUGGGGGCAACCCUGAUCCGGCAAUGCCGCGUGAGUGAAGAAGGCCUUCGGGUUGUAAAGCUCUUUUGUCAGGGAAGAAACACCGGCUCUAACACAGUCCGGGAAUGACGGUACCUGAAGAAUAAGCACCGGCUAACUACGUGCCAGCAGCCGCAGUAA